RNAcentral lists this long non-coding RNA (3968 nucleotides) under Aquilegia coerulea. RNAcentral's name for it is "long non-coding RNA (ACOE_LNC001405)". The record is from RNAcentral. Lineage: Eukaryota; Viridiplantae; Streptophyta; Magnoliopsida; Ranunculales; Ranunculaceae.
UCGGUUUCGGUCCGGUCUUGACCGGUUUUUAGUCAACUCGGUUUUUUCGGUUCGGUUUUCGGUUUUUCGGUUUUUUUGCCCACCCCUACAUUCCAUUGCCAACAUUACCCUUUCCUCCCCCUGUUGUGGUUGUUCAAUAGCCCUGUCCUCAGCUCCCUUCUCUUUUUCAUCUUUUUUAUUUCCUCUAUCCUAUCUCUCUCCUCUCUUCCUCUACUUUUAUUGAAAACAUGUCAAGUACUGGUAGGCGUUGGACAAUGCCAGUCUAUCUUCUCGUUCCAUACAAAUUUCCCAAAGAUAUCAGAAUCACCGAAAGGUUUUGAUGCGUUAAAAUAACCAGAAACCGAUUGUGUCUUCAACUUUAUGGCGAAUCAUUGCCUUGUUCUGCGCUUUCUUGGCCAAGUACACCAUAAUAUUUCUUCAGUAAUAUUUCUCAAAAUCCUCUUCUUAUGCCUAAACUCUUCCUCCAUCAUCAUCACCGCUACUGCUGCGUUUAUUGUAAUCUGAAAUGCUUGGUCGGUUGUUUUAUUGCCUUUUCUGCUGUGUUUAUUGUAAUCUGAAAUGCUUGGUCGGUUGUUUUAUUGCUUUUUCUUCGGUUAUUACAACUUUCGCUUCUCUAUCUAGUUCUUGAUUCCUCAGUCUUCAUACUCAGGUAUUAAAUUCUCCUUGCAGAUUUUCUUCUUCUGCUACUACUACCCGGCCUCUUCCAUCCUUUUUAGUAUCUUGAUCCUACAAAGCUAGUUCGGUAAUAUUCUAUUAAAGCUUGAUUUGGCCAUAAUGACAUAUUUAUUUUCAAAUCAAUCAGAAAAUAAGCACUAUCAAGUUGCUAUUUUGACUCCAAUGUUUGAGUUAAGAUUUCUAAAAGCUGGCUUUCCUAAAUAAUAGAGAAUAACAUGUUCAGACUUCAGACAAAUCAUUUGAAAGGAUAAUGAUUUGUUGCCUAUUAAGAUGUUAUUUCAUUCCUUAGAUAAUUUCUUACUAUUCAAAACCAUGAUCCUUAAAAUGUAAUUGUAGAUAGACCUAUAUAUAUACCACAACACUAAAUUACUGUUGCAGUUUAUCCAUUGCAAAGCCAUGGCUGCAAACAAGAUUGUUGCUUUAUCUUUAUGCUUUCUUUCAAGCUUCUUCUUACUAUUAGAUGUAGUUUUUUUUUUUUUUUUUUUUUUAAUUAAAAAACAAAUUAUAUUGAUAAGCUCAACGAAUUACACAAAAGUAGAGGACAAACGCGCUACAAACUGCGCGGCGAGUCCUUUCUGGAUAGCAAACCCGACUCUCCUAAAUACAUAUCGUUCGAACCCGCAGUCAUCACGUUGCUAUCCAUUAUUUUCUGUACUCUCCUGAGGAGCUCAACUGCUUUUGAGCCUAGCAAUCCAAAUGUGUCAAAUGCAAAGGGGAUAUGAAACUAUGUUGGUUAGCCCUACAAGCUCCGUCAUGUUUCUCCACUUUUGCUGCUGCUGCAUUGCUAGCUGCUAGCCCCACCUCAAAAAUCCCAGCACCCAGCCCAACCAUCGGAGACGCCCCUGUAACAUCAACACACGCAUGUUUACCUUCAGACCAGUUGUAGACCAGAAUAUCAGCAAGACGUAAUGUCGAUCUUCCUUCCUAGGAUCAGUAAGAAAGUUAACAGGAGUCUCCUUCUUAACCUGUACUCCAGCCCGUCAGAACACAUCACACAAGAUAUCUCUAACGUGGUCAUGUCUGUACUUGAAGUCGGGGUAAUGCUUACAAUGGGCCGCAUGGUCCCCGAAGCCAUCAAGUCAGCUCUUCUUGCACACUGGACAAAGCUCACCAUCUGAAUAUAGAGGGAUCAUCAAUCGAUAACGAAGAAUGGCACGAUAUUCUACAGGCGUCAUGCGUUGUCCAAGCCCUUCAAUCGGGAUAGCAAGGAGAAAAUAUUUGGCAUGUUCUGACUGCAAACAUUCAAUCACGGCUUUUUGUCUAGCUGACAACUCAAAUUCCUUCUCAAGACCAGAACUAAUCUUGUUGUAGUAUGCUUCCGCCAAGACAUGUUGGGGUCUGAAGGGGACGGUAGCAGUUGGAGCAAGAUUAAUGAGAUCAAAAUCAGGUAUAGAAAGAUGUAAACUAGCAAUGGCAGUAUCGAAAAUAUUACCCAUAGGUGCAGUCUCACCACCUCGAAGAAUGUGGUCUUGGAGAUUCUUAGUUUGCACACGUGAAGCUACGAAAGCAAACUUCAUAACAUCAGUAGCACAAUUGUAACACCCAUGAGUUGGUGUUAGUCCCACAUUGCCAAGGAAGUGGUUGUUUCGGUAGUAUAUAGAGCUUAACCAUACUCUAACUAAUGUCAAGGCCUUUUAGGGUAAACCACAUGGGUGGGCCCUGAUCCAAAACCCUCUACUGCUGGAUAUCUGCAGUGACUAAAAGGGGACAAUAUUGAUAUUAGCGAGUCGUAUGGUGCUCGACGCACCGGGAUGAGCGAUGACGAAAUCCUAGGGCGUUACAGUUGGUAUCAGAGCCGACGAUGGGUCGCCUGUUGCAGGUGGGAAGUACGCUGGAAAGGCCCAGGGAGCGCCAGGUACUUGUCUCAUUUGGCAGGGAACGUCGGAGAUUUUGGGACUGUACCGAGUGUACUGCAGAGCCGAGGACGGCUCUAUUUCUAAGGUGGUGAGAUUGUAACACCCAUGAGUUGGUGUUAGUCCCACAUUGCCAAGGAAGUGGUUGUAUUGGUAGUAUAUAGAGUUUAACCAUACUUUAACUAAUGUCAAUGCCUUUUAGGGUAAACCACAUGGGUGGGCCCUGAUCCAAAACCCUCUACUGCUGGAUAUCCGCAGUGACUAAAAAGGGACAAUAUUGACAUUAGCGAGCGGUAUGGUGCUUGACGCACCGGGAUGAGCGGGGACGAAAUCCUGGGGCGUUACAACAAUAGAUACCAAGUCCACCCAUACGUAAUGGGAGGGUUGCCAUACGCCAUUGUAGAUCGCCAAAACCAGGUCCAUCAGAAACCACAAUAUUCUGUCCCCCCCAAUUGGUUAAUUAAUAAGGAAAAAUGGAGCUCUUUUUGUGUUAUUGCUACUUGAAAAUUUUGGAAAGCUAGAUGUUCCAUGAUAUUCAGAAAACAGUUUGUACAACCCCACUUACUUGCUCUCAGAAUUGACAGAAUAGUGGAUAAAUACAUGCAUAAUACUUUGGCAGAAAAAUCAGGUUAUGUGCCCAGGAAUUUAUCAUCUCAGACUAUCUGGAUCCCUCCCAUAGAAGGCACAGUCAAGAUAAAUGUGGACAUCUGUUUCUCUGCAGCUGAUAAACCCAUUGGUAUUGGAUACUUAAUGAGAUCGGCAUCUGGUGUAUGCUUAUUUGCAGGGACAGAGACAAAUAAUACUGGCAGCUUAGACGAGGCAGAGUGCAGGGGCAUCCUCCGAGCACUCAGAAGUGGUGUCGAACAGCGACUGAAAGAUGUGGAAGUGGAGUCUGACAGUAAGGGUGCAGCAGACUAUAUGAAUGGGCAUCCUGCUAACCUAACUUGGACGACAGCCAACUUAUUAGAGGAGGCAAAAUCUAUGUUUACUUUGUUUAAUUCAGUUGUUUUUAAAUUUUGCAAUCAAUCAGGGAACUUUUGUGCUCAUAUAUUAGCAAAACAUGCUGAUAUAAGCUCACAAAACCUAUCUACUAUCUACCUCCACCACUUUGGCUCCUUUGCCAGCUGGAGAAAGACCUGUUAAUUAUGUAAUAUUGUGAACUACUAGUUGUUUCUAAUAUAAUGACUAUUAAAAAAAAAAAAAAAAACCUUUGUAUGGCAUCUCUGGACCGCACAGGCUCACACCAAUCUUUUCGAAAAAUUCUCAACUCUUUCAGCAUGUGCAAUCAACUCACACAUGAUUUCACUAUAUAUUCUCCUAUGUUACUUAGAGUCUAUCAUUGUGUCUUCCUCAAUCUCAUUGGGUGAACUUGCAUAUAAACGUAUUGUCAGACUCCCAACUUCUUCGGUUUCCCAUUCAUAUAACCUUGCUCUGAUUAGG